This is an RNA transcript of Lolium rigidum, 1672 nucleotides long. RefSeq lists it as uncharacterized. NCBI's taxonomy places the organism in Eukaryota, Viridiplantae, Streptophyta, Magnoliopsida, Poales, Poaceae. The record is from RefSeq and is a predicted model, not a curated record. The transcript has 3 exons.
GAAGGACCUGCAGACCUGCAUCCUGCCCCUCCCUGGCGCUGGCGGCGGCAUCAAGCGGUAUGUGCUCCGCUCGGGUUCGGCGACUGUGUCGAUAGCGACUGCCUCGCCCUGCAAGGUAAACCGAACUGUUCUAUCUCCAAAGAGCUACUGCUCAAAAUAAUUUUUGGCUGUUCGAACUGAUUUCUGCUUAUGAGUUGACUCAUGAACUGAAUUGCGUAAUUUGCUUCGGAUUAAUUGGCACUUGGAGUUCAAACUGGGAAUUGUGUUGUUUCAAAUUGGCACUGUCCAUUUUUAGCCCCGUUUUGUUCUGAAUGCAAUUACUUUGAUGGACUAGGAGAUAUUGCGGUGUUAAAAAAUUGUAAGUCCGUAGGAAUAGAGGUACCUGUUGAGAUGUGCCACUGCAUCAAUACUCACUGUAUGUUCCAAGCUAUUGAUUUGUUAAGUUUGUUUCUGUCAUUUAGAUUGAGUGGCCUACCUGUUUAUGUUGAUGAAUUUGCAUGUUAACACAAACAGUUCGGCUCUACACCAAAGAGACGUAACUUUGUUGACACUGAACAAUCUUUAUUAACUGAAACUCAUACUCCUAUAUAGUUUCGGGUAAAACAACAGAAAUGGCUAACCCUCUAAAAGCUGAGUGUCAAACAACAGAAAUAACUAACCGGCAAGCAUUAUUAUGCAUAGGUUGGUUCUCUUACUUGGGAAAUUCUACCAAGUGGUAGUAAAUUAGUAUUAAUGAUUUCACCUGCUCGAGUCAUCUCUUAUCUCAGGUAUUCUCCCAAAAUCCAUCCAUGAAAAUUUUGUCGAUAGUGGGGCUGAUAAGAAAAAUAAAAAUAGUUCUUUCGUCAUCGGCCUCUUGCGGCCCCAUUUUGCAUGUGCGUUAGGUCUCGGCGUUCAAGGCACGUUUCUAACUAUGUGAGCCAAUUGUCUCGCCGCUACUUCUGUUUGUUGUCCAGACAUUCUCUCUUGGCUAAAGCAUGCCGGUUUAGCUUCCAAUUUUGCUGUUGAUAUGGAUGUUUGAAGGCUUGCAAUUCAUCUUGGACUUAUUGGAUAUCUUUGUUAUUUUCUGCAGGUGCUCCUGGUUAUGGUGAUUCUACAUAAUGAUCUUAGGAUCUGUUUUCAGACUGUUCUUCUUUAGGUUCAGGUCCGAAAUCGGGAGUCUGUACAUGCAUCUUAUGCUGGAUAUAUUCUGCAGCUCUGCUUAUGGAUUCUCAGUUUCCAGGUUGUUCCAUGUGUUGUCCAUUUAUAAUUUGGCAUCGGCUGCUGUUUCAUAUGGUUGACACGUAUGAUACCAGUAGAUAAGAUACUUGAUAGUGAUGUGUGGCAGAUUGUUGCGCCCCCUUUCUGUCAUCAAUAUCAUGUUGCUGCUGCUUCUGCUCCAAUGGCUGCAGCCCAGACUCGCCUACAAAGCAGAAAGAUCCCGAUCUUUCAUUUGAGAUGAUCAUCAUCUCUGAAGCAUGAAGAAACAUCCAAGAAAUUUUACAUAUCUUGACAGUUUUGCAAUGUUGCGUACAAUGCGCAACAGUUUGGAGCUCUAGCAGCACACAUUGGAGAUGAUGCUCUUCUUUCAGGGUACUUAUCUAACAUCACAUAUGAUUUAUCAUCUAUUUCAUUUCCAUCCUUCGAUUACUGCAUACUCUAUUUUGUUCCCAUUUCUGACCGGUUCUCUUCAUCA